AGAGUUUGAUCCUGGCUCAGAUUGAACGCUAGCGGGAUGCCUUACACAUGCAAGUCGAACGGCAGCACGGACUUCGGUCUGGUGGCGAGUGGCGAACGGGUGAGUAAUGUAUCGGAACGUGCCCAGUAGCGGGGGAUAACUACGCGAAAGCGUAGCUAAUACCGCAUACGCCCUACGGGGGAAAGCAGGGGAUCGUAAGACCUUGCACUAUUGGAGCGGCCGAUAUCGGAUUAGCUAGUUGGUGGGGUAACGGCUCACCAAGGCGACGAUCCGUAGCUGGUUUGAGAGGACGACCAGCCACACUGGGACUGAGACACGGCCCAGACUCCUACGGGAGGCAGCAGUGGGGAAUUUUGGACAAUGGGGGAAACCCUGAUCCAGCCAUCCCGCGUGUGCGAUGAAGGCCUUCGGGUUGUAAAGCACUUUUGGCAGGAAAGAAACGUCAUGGGUUAAUACCCCGUGAAACUGACGGUACCUGCAGAAUAAGCACCGGCUAACUACGUGCCAGCAGCCGCGGUAAUACGUAGGGUGCAAGCGUUAAUCGGAAUUACUGGGCGUAAAGCGUGCGCAGGCGG
RNAcentral lists this ribosomal RNA (575 nucleotides) under uncultured bacterium. RNAcentral's name for it is "bacterial SSU rRNA". It matches the Rfam family "Bacterial small subunit ribosomal RNA", at positions 8 to 578 of the family's 1533-position model. The record is from RNAcentral.